AUGCAAUUGAACGGUUUUAGAAAUGUUUCACUCUCCUCAUUCCACAAUCAAAAAUGGUUUCAUCACCCAUUAAUCUUCUAUAGUAGUUUCAAAUGCGAUUCCUUCUUUCUCUCUUCCUCUUCUUCACAGAUUGCAUUUGAGAAGGCGGAUCUGAAGUACGCGGUGGUUUCCGACGCAGUAAGCAGACCCUGUUAUAGAGAGGCUGGAUCCGAAGCACUGCAUUAG
Non-coding RNA from Vicia faba (fava bean), 225 nucleotides. NCBI's taxonomy places the organism in Eukaryota, Viridiplantae, Streptophyta, Magnoliopsida, Fabales, Fabaceae. The record is from the annotation of a GenBank genome assembly.